Molecule: ribosomal RNA, 514 nt
Filed under: uncultured bacterium
Lineage: Bacteria
Description: bacterial SSU rRNA
Rfam family: Bacterial small subunit ribosomal RNA
Source: RNAcentral
GAACGCUGGCGGCGUGCCUAAUACAUGCAAGUCGAACGGUCUUUCUAUGGAAGCUUGCUUCCACUGAGAAGAUAGUGGCGAACGGGUGAGUAACACGUGGGUAACCUGCCCAUAAGAGGGGGAUAACAUCCGGAAACGGGUGCUAAUACCGCAUAGUUUUCUUGAUCGCAUGAUCGGGAAAGGAAAGACGGCCUUUGUGCUGUCGCUUAUGGAUGGACCCGCGGCGUAUUAGUUAGUUGGUGAGGUAACGGCUCACCAAGACGAUGAUACGUAGCCGACCUGAGAGGGUGAUCGGCCACAUUGGGACUGAGACACGGCCCAAACUCCUACGGGAGGCAGCAGUAGGGAAUCUUCCGCAAUGGACGAAAGUCUGACGGAGCAACGCCGCGUGAGUGAAAGAAGGUUUUCGGAUCGUAAAACUCUGUUGUCAGAGAAGAACAAGUUGGAGAGUAACUGCUCCAGCCUUGACGGUAUCUGACCAGAAAGCCACGGCUAACUACGUGCCAGCCGCCGC